RNAcentral lists this small RNA (81 nucleotides) under Flavobacterium segetis. RNAcentral describes it as "Flavo-1 RNA". It matches the Rfam family "Flavo-1 RNA". Lineage: Bacteria; Pseudomonadati; Bacteroidota; Flavobacteriia; Flavobacteriales; Flavobacteriaceae. The record is from RNAcentral.
UUCUAGCCCGGAUAGAAGUGGAAAUCCUUUUAUGUUCGCAAUAGCGCACAUAAAAGAUUGCAACGCAUAGCCGGAUUAGCU